Apis cerana (Asiatic honeybee) is the source of this 514-nucleotide long non-coding RNA. RefSeq lists it as uncharacterized. The record is from RefSeq and is a predicted model, not a curated record. Lineage: Eukaryota; Metazoa; Arthropoda; Insecta; Hymenoptera; Apidae.
GAAACAGAGAAACAUCGAGCCUAAAGGAAGGGAUGCGCGCGAUGGUAGGGGCUGAGGGAUGGUCAAAAGCAAAAGAGGGGAAACAUCCCACUAUUUUCCACUGUCCUCGGACGAUUUCGACUACCUUCGAUUGCUUUCGACUUAGAGAGGCUCGUCCCCUUACGGUCCCCAGAGGGAAGGAUGGCUAUUCGAAUCAACUCGAUCUUCGAGGAACAGAAUUUACGAAGGAAGUGGCUAUGCGAAUCUACAGGCACUGAAGAAGCGCGGGAGAAUUUAUUUUCUCAGAAGUGUAGCGUGGCCUCGGUACAGUCUCUGCCGUUACCGGUUGAAUAAUUUCAUCCUUCCGUCCCAAGAUAAACCUACGCUCCAGCAUGAAUGUGACCAACGUAUCACCAACAUCAAGUUAGAGCUUCAAUGACGAAAAUAUUUAUUUUUUUCAUUUAAUAUGUUUCUAUGAAAUUACUAUGGAAAUUUUUGUUGUAAAAUAAUAAAAGAAAAAUGAGAUAUAAUAAAA